AGGCUGGAUCCUUGCUCAGCUCCUGCUCCUUCCAUCCUGGGUUUCCAUUCCCAGUUUCUCAACAGGACUCUUGAAUUUUUGCCCAUGUCACAUUAAAAGCAGAAUUGAAAAAGUUUAUUAAAUCUGUGCCCCUAAAUCAACCCAACACAGCCAGCCCAGAUGGAAACUCAUCCUCAUAAACAGCUUCAGAGUGGAGUGAAAAUGCUGCUGAACUCAAAGCUUUUCUGGCUCUGGUGAGAAUAUUCCUGCAGUUCAUCACUGGGGAUAAACUGGGAUUUGAUAACACCUCAUCCAUGAAAAUCCUCUUGUGCUGUUUGAGGCUUCAUGCAAACC
Molecule: long non-coding RNA, 333 nt
Organism: Passer domesticus (house sparrow)
Lineage: Eukaryota; Metazoa; Chordata; Aves; Passeriformes; Passeridae
Exons: 3
Source: RefSeq, a predicted model, not a curated record